AUUUAUCUGUUUGCAAGGUGGAGGAUAAACAAUGCUAGGGAAACCUAUUAGGUCCCAUCAAAUUAACCUGAACAUGGCACACUGAUUAACAAGAACAUUAUUAGGUAAAGACAAGUGAUCAAUGGCACAACUUGUCUUAGACUCAAUAUUUCUAGGUGCCAACUUGGUCUUCAAGUGCCUCGUAACCUCACUGCUACUCGUAGCAAUACAAACAAACAUGGCAUAGGAAAAUAUUAACAUCACAUCAAACAUGAGAACAUACUGCAUAAUAAUGAUCUACACAUCGCAAUGAGAUCCCAGGUUCGAGAACCACUAAAUUCGGAGCUACGGUUAGUAAGAUAUGGUUUUCGGAAGAUUACCAUGAUUAAAUGAUACGAACUAAAUUCUAUGUUGAUUAAUGUAAAUCAUAUGAGAAAAGUUAUUAAAGAAAUAACUAAUUCAACUGUAAUCUAAAUUAUAACUUUAUUAUAGAUCGGAUUAUAUUUAUGGAUAGAUUAAGUAGGAUAAAUCUAAUAACCAUAGGAUAAACAAAUAUCUAAUUAUAAAAGUAUGUGAUAUGAUACAAUUAAGGUUGUUACUGCAUAGGCAAUUUUAUUACAAAGCUAACGCAAUUGGAAUAGAUUAAGUCGAAGUUAAAACGAGUAAAAUAUGAGUUUUCUAAGUUUAAUGAUUUAUUUUUUACACUAUAAACCAUUUUUAGAUUUUAUUUUAUAUUAAUUAUGAUUUCCCUCGACGGUGGCCAUCAUUUACAAUAAGUCUAGGGUUUUCUUUGUAAAAACAAGGACUUAUUCGUAAUAGUAUUUGCACUUGGGGGAACCGUGGGUUGAAUACACGAUUCUGCAGUGACUCUUUAGCAAAGUUAGACGACCGAAGGGGUAUGGGACGAUUUUGGCCAUUGGAUUUCAAUCUGAGGGUUCGGAUUAGAUGUACAUCACUAUGAACCAUUAUACGAUUGUGAUCGUUGAUCAAAAGAUCUGUGGCACAGAUUAGUUUUAAACGAACUCUCAUCUUGUCCCUCCAUCUUCCGAUCAAUGGUCGCGAAGCCUUCUAGCCGAACGGUAUGCACGGUCCGAUCCGAGCCGUUAGCGGCUGGAUCAACGGUUGUCGCUGUGUCAUCCUCCGACCUCCUCACCACAGACCAAACGCGGCGCGCCGCCCUACCUCACGGCAAAAGGGCGCACCGGUGACGAGUCAGCCAUGAAUCGAUGCCUAAGCACUGUUUCUACCGGAGCCACGUGACGAGGAGGAUGAGGCGGACUUGGAUGAGGACUACUUACUGGAUGGUGCGGCAUGGAGGGCUCUGCCCUCUGCACGCAGCGGACCAAUGGCGGAGGUUCAACUCCGGUGAGUAAUUCCGGUGACCUUAGUGGACUUCCCCGCCUGAGUCGGCCAUGGCUAUAUCCAGUGAACACCUGUGAACCUGCACGGCCACCGCACGAGGGAAAUCAUUGGUGUAAAUGUGGGUCGACGACGGCUUCAUUUUCCCUCACGGAGCCGCAACUAGGAUAGUUCUUGAGGCGACGAAGGAAGGAGGUGGCGGCUCGAGCUGGAGGACAAAGGGGUCGAGUUUUAUAGCCCGAGCAAGGAGCCCCGCGAGUUUCGCAACCACCCCCGACAGAUAUGGUGUGCGCAUGGUUGGGGAUCCGGUCAACACAGCUGAUCUCGUGGUGUCUGUUUGGGAGGG
Molecule: long non-coding RNA, 1684 nt
Filed under: Zea mays
Lineage: Eukaryota; Viridiplantae; Streptophyta; Magnoliopsida; Poales; Poaceae
Description: long non-coding RNA (ZMAY_LNC001314)
Source: RNAcentral